This 72-nucleotide transfer RNA is filed under the name Chloroflexota bacterium. RNAcentral's name for it is "Chloroflexi bacterium tRNA-Thr". It matches the Rfam family "tRNA". From Rfam's summary of the family: Transfer RNA (tRNA) molecules are approximately 80 nucleotides in length. Their secondary structure includes four short double-helical elements and three loops (D, anti-codon, and T loops). RNAcentral also lists the same sequence under 1 other name. Lineage: Bacteria; Bacillati; Chloroflexota. The record is from RNAcentral.
GCCGGCGUAGCUCAGUGGUAGAGCUUCGGUUUUGUAAACCGUAGGUCGUGGGUUCGAGUCCCUCCGCCGGCU